Molecule: long non-coding RNA, 517 nt
Organism: Erinaceus europaeus (western European hedgehog)
Lineage: Eukaryota; Metazoa; Chordata; Mammalia; Eulipotyphla; Erinaceidae
Exons: 4
Source: RefSeq, a predicted model, not a curated record
UCAGUGCGCAGGCGCAAGCAGCGACUCUGCUUAUAUAAGGGAGGUCCUUAGCGCCUUUCUUUCUUUCACUUCUGCGGUUUUUGCUGUGCUUGUACUUCUACUCCGGAGGGUUUUGGUCUGCUCCCCCCAGCCUAGCUUGGUUCGGUCAGCGAGAUGGAAAGGAACAGGCCGGAGUCUGAGGAACAGGAUUGCCGCUGGCUCUCCGAGCGAGCCUCGUGUAAAUGUUUGCAGUUUUGGAACACCUGAGCUCUGGGUUUAGGCUUAUGGUCAGAAAACGUGGAGUGACUACAGAGUCACGUGGAGUGACUAGAGUUCGAAGAAUUAGAUCAGAAGCCUGUGAACAUCCGAAGGCACCUCACUCCUGUCAUUGGUGAGAAGUUGCUUUUUGGGUGGGAAUAGCAACAAGAGUAGAAGGCCUUUAUCCUGAUAAUGUUUGAGGAACCACAUGACCAACCCUGUGCUGGUUUUGAAAGAUCAAAGAACCUUUGUAACUCAUAAAUAAAUUUUGUAGAACCUU